CGUUCCAUGGCCAAACUGGUCAAGGCAUCGCCGAAUAUAGGCGAAGAUGUGGGUUCGAGUCUUGCUGAAACUG
RNAcentral lists this transfer RNA (73 nucleotides) under Operophtera brumata (winter moth). It matches the Rfam family "tRNA". Rfam says of the family: Transfer RNA (tRNA) molecules are approximately 80 nucleotides in length. Their secondary structure includes four short double-helical elements and three loops (D, anti-codon, and T loops). The record is from Rfam by way of RNAcentral. Lineage: Eukaryota; Metazoa; Arthropoda; Insecta; Lepidoptera; Geometridae.